This 720-nucleotide ribosomal RNA is filed under the name Natrinema thermotolerans. RNAcentral's name for it is "bacterial SSU rRNA". It matches the Rfam family "Archaeal small subunit ribosomal RNA", at positions 30 to 749 of the family's 1478-position model. Lineage: Archaea; Methanobacteriati; Methanobacteriota; Halobacteria; Halobacteriales; Natrialbaceae. The record is from RNAcentral.
CUAAUUGAAUCGGAUUUAGGCCCUGCUAGUUGCACGAGUUCAGACUCGUAGCAGAUAGCUCAGUAACACGUGGCCAAACUACCCUAUGGAUCCGAAUAACCUCGGGAAACUGAGGCUAAUUCGGAAUACGAUUCACCGCCUGGAGUGGUGUGAAUCCGAAACGCUCCGGCGCCAUAGGAUGUGGCUGCGGCCGAUUAGGUAGACGGUGGGGUAACGGCCCACCGUGCCCAUAAUCGGUACGGGUUGUGAGAGCAAGAGCCCGGAGACGGUAUCUGAGACAAGAUACCGGGCCCUACGGGGCGCAGCAGGCGCGAAACCUUUACACUGCACGAAAGUGCGAUAAGGGGACUCCAAGUGCGAGGGCAUAUAGUCCUCGCUUUUUGCGACCGUAAGGUGGUCGCGGAAUAAGUGCUGGGCAAGACCGGUGCCAGCCGCCGCGGUAAUACCGGCAGCACGAGUGAUGACCGCUAUUAUUGGGCCUAAAGCGUCCGUAGCUGGCCGUGCAAGUCCAUCGGGAAAUCCGCGCGCUUAACGCGCGGGCGUCCGGUGGAAACUGCAUGGCUUGGGACCGGAAGACCAGAGGGGUACGUCCGGGGUAGGAGUGAAAUCCCGUAAUCCUGGACGGACCACCGGUGGCGAAAGCGCCUCUGGAAGACGGAUCCGACGGUGAGGGACGAAAAGCUCGGGUCACGAACCGGAUUAGAUACCCGGGUAGUCCGA